GGAAUCUUCCGCAAUGGGCGCAAGCCUGACGGAGCAACGCCGCGUGAGUGAGGAAGUUUUUCGGAACGUAAAGCUCUGUUGUACAUGACGAACGUGCGAUCUGUCAACAACGGCUGGCAGUGACGGUAGUGUACGAGGAAGCCACGGCGAACUACGUGCCAGCAGCCGCGGUAAUACGUAGGUGGCAAGCGUUGUCCGGAAUUAUUGGGCGUAAAGCGCAUGUAGGCGGCGUGUUAAGUCUGUCGUGAAACUGCGGGGCUCAGCCCCGUAUGGCGAUGGAAACUGAUGUGCUUGAGUGCAGGAGAGGAAAGGGGAACUCCCAGUGUAGCGGUGAAAUGCGUAGAUAUUGGGAAGAACACCGGUGGCGAAGGCGCCUUUCUGGACUGUGUCUGACGCUGAGAUGCGAAAGCCAGGGUAGCGAACG
Molecule: ribosomal RNA, 424 nt
Filed under: uncultured Succiniclasticum sp.
Lineage: Bacteria; Bacillati; Bacillota; Negativicutes; Acidaminococcales; Acidaminococcaceae
Description: bacterial SSU rRNA
Rfam family: Bacterial small subunit ribosomal RNA
Source: RNAcentral